This 459-nucleotide ribosomal RNA is filed under the name uncultured Sphingobacteriales bacterium. RNAcentral's name for it is "bacterial SSU rRNA". It matches the Rfam family "Bacterial small subunit ribosomal RNA", at positions 923 to 1382 of the family's 1533-position model. Lineage: Bacteria; Pseudomonadati; Bacteroidota; Sphingobacteriia; Sphingobacteriales. The record is from RNAcentral.
GCACAAGCGGUGGAGCAUGUGGUUUAAUUCGAUGAUACGCGAGGAACCUUACCUGGGCUUAAAUGUAGAGUGCAUUUUUUUAGAGAUAGAAAUUCCCUUCGGGGCUUUCUGCAAGGUGCUGCAUGGUUGUCGUCAGCUCGUGCCGUGAGGUGUCGGGUUAAGUCCCAUAACGAGCGCAACCCUUAUCGUUAGUUGCCAUCUGGUAAUGCAGGGGACUCUAGCGAAACUGCCACCGUAAGGUGAGAGGAAGUGGGGAUGACGUCAAAUCAGCACGGCCCUUAUGUCCAGGGCUACACACGUGUUACAAUGGUCGGUACAGAGGGCAGCUACCUGGUGACAGGAUGCUAAUCUCGAAAACCGGUCUCAGUUCGGAUCGAAGUCUGCAACUCGACUUCGUGAAGCUGGAUUCGCUAGUAAUCGCGCAUCAGCUAUGGCGCGGUGAAUACGUUCCCGGGCCUU